AAAUUUCCAGUAAAUGUUCAGAAACUUUCCAUAGGAAGUUAAGUUGGGGAAUUUUAAAAAUAUUCCAAAUUGGAAACUUUCAUGGAAUUAAAGGAAAUUAUGGGAAUUAAUGGGAAUUUACGGGAAUGUUUGGUAAUUCCUACUGUUUCACAUACAGACAUUAACAUUUUGUUUCGUAAUAAGCAAUAGCAAAAUUCGUAUUUUUGCUUAGCUUAACAUACAAAGAUGACUAACAUGCUAGCAGGAAUCCCAUUCUCUGCCUAUGGUUUACUAGCGUGCUAAGCUAGCAACACUGAAACCACUGAACUGCCCAAGAUACACCACGCCACUCAACAACAAAAUCCAAUUGAUUGGAACAUUUACUGACAAUCAGUUUGUUCAGUCAGAAUCCCAGAAAAUGGUAAAAUAAAUAAAAAUAUAAUGACAACAUACCACCCCAACCAAACCAAACCUAGAUUAAAUGAUAUUGUCAAGCUUAAUCAGACAGAU
Long non-coding RNA from Alosa sapidissima (American shad), 489 nucleotides. RefSeq lists it as uncharacterized. The record is from RefSeq and is a predicted model, not a curated record. The transcript is spliced from 3 exons. NCBI's taxonomy places the organism in Eukaryota, Metazoa, Chordata, Actinopteri, Clupeiformes, Clupeidae.